This 450-nucleotide ribosomal RNA is filed under the name uncultured bacterium. RNAcentral describes it as "partial 16S ribosomal RNA". It matches the Rfam family "Bacterial small subunit ribosomal RNA", at positions 354 to 796 of the family's 1533-position model. The record is from RNAcentral.
GUGGGGAAUAUUGGACAAUGGGCGAAAGCCUGAUCCAGCCAUGCCGCGUGUGUGAAGAAGGUCUUCGGAUUGUAAAGCACUUUAAGUUGGGAGGAAGGGCAGUAAGUUAAUACCUUGCUGUUUUGACGUUACCAACAGAAUAAGCACCGGCUAACUUCGUGCCAGCAGCCGCGGUAAUACGAAGGGUGCAAGCGUUAAUCGGAAUUACUGGGCGUAAAGCGCGCGUAGGUGGUUCAGCAAGUUGGAGGUGAAAUCCCCGGGCUCAACCUGGGAACUGCCUCCAAAACUACUGAGCUAGAGUACGGUAGAGGGUAGUGGAAUUUCCUGUGUAGCGGUGAAAUGCGUAGAUAUAGGAAGGAACGCCAGUGGCGAAGGCGACUACCUGGACUGAUACUGACACUGAGGUGCGAAAGCGUGGGGAGCAAACAGGAUUAGAUACCCUAGUAGUCC